UGGGGGAUUUUGCACAAUGGGCGCAAGCCUGAUGCAGCGACGCCGCGUGAGGGAUGAAGGCCUUCGGGUUGUAAACCUCUUUCGCUGGGUUGAAAGGCCAUGCUUUGGGUGUGGUUGAUUUGAACUGGUAAAGAAGUACCGGCUAACUACGUGCCAGCAGCCGCGGUAAUACGUAGGGUACUAGUGUUGUCCGGAUUUAUUGGGCGUAAAGGGCUUGUAGGUGGUUUGUCGCGUCUGUCGUGAAAUCCUGUGGCUUAACCAGGGGCUUGCGGUGGGUACGGGCAGGCUUGAGUGCGGUAGGGGAGGCUGGAAUUGCUGGUGUAGCGGUGGAAUGCGCAGAUAUCAGGAGGAACACCGGUGGCGAAGGCGGGUCUCUGGGCCGUUACUGACACUGAGGAGCGAAAGCGUGGGGAGCGAACAGG
Molecule: ribosomal RNA, 422 nt
Filed under: Fusobacteriota bacterium
Lineage: Bacteria; Fusobacteriati; Fusobacteriota
Description: Fusobacteria bacterium partial 16S ribosomal RNA
Rfam family: Bacterial small subunit ribosomal RNA
Source: RNAcentral